UCAAAAAAUGUCAUAGUAUAUUAAGACAUCAAAAACCAUCAAAAAAUGUCAUAGUAUAGUAAGGCAUCAAAAAUGGUCAAAAAAUGUCAUAGUAUAGUAAGACAUCAAAAACCAUCAAAAAAUGUCAUAGUAUAGUAAGGCAUCAAAAAUUGACAAAAAAUGUCAUAGUAUAGUAAAACAUCAAAAAAUGUCAUAGUAUAGUAAGGCGUCAAAAAUUGACAAAAAAUUUCAUAGUAUAGUAAGGUGUCAAAAACCAUCAAAAAAUUCUAUAGUAUCGCAAGGUGUCAAAAAUUGACAAAAAUGUCAUAGUAUAGUAAGACAUCAAAAACCAUCAAAAAAUGUCAUAGUAUAGUAAGGCAUCAAAAACCAUCAAAAAAUGUCAUAGUAUAGUAAGACAUCAAAAACCAUCAAAAAAUGUCAUAGUAUAGUAAGGCGUCAAAAACCAUCAAAAAAUGUCAUAGUAUAGUAAGACAUCAAAAACCAUCAAAAAAUGUCAUAGUAUAGUAAGACAUCAAAAACCAUCAAAAAAUGUCAUAGUAUAGUAAGUUGUCAAAAAUUGACCAAAAAUGUCAUAGUAUAGUAAGGCAUCAAAAAUGGUCAAAAAAUGUCAUAGUAUAGUAAGACAUCAAAAACCAUCAAAAAAUGUCAUAGUAUAGUAAGACAUCAAAAACCAUCAAAAAAUGUCAUAGUAUAGUAAGGCAUCAAAAACCAUCAAAAAAUGUCAUAGUAUAGUAAGACAUCAAAAACCAUCAAAAAAUGUCAUAGUAUAGUAAGGCAUCAAAAACCAUCAAAAAAUGUCAUACUAUCGUAAGUUGUCAAAAAUUGACAAAAAUGUCAUAGUAUAGUAAGGCAUCAAAAAUUGACCAAAAAUGUCAUAGUAUAGUAAGAAAUCAAAAACCAUCAAAAAAUGUCAUAGUAUAGUAAGGUGUCAAAAACCAUCAAAAAAUGUCAUAGUAUAUUAAGACAUCAAAAACCAUCAAAAAAUGUCAUAGUAUAGUAAGGCAUCAAAAAUUGACCAAAAAUGUCAUAGUAUAGUAAGACAUCAAAAACCAUCAAAAAAUGUCAUAGUAUAGUAAGGCAUCAAAAAUUGACAAAAAAUGUCAUAGUAUAGUAAGGCAUCAAAAAAUGUCAUAGUAUAGUAAGACAUCAAAAAUGGUCAAAAAAAGACAUCAAAAACCAUCAAAAAAUGUCAUAGUAUAGUAAGGCAUCAAAAACCAUCUAAAAAUGUCAUAGUAUAGUAAGACAUCAAAAAUUGACAAAAAAUGUCAUAGCAUAGUAAGACAUCAAAAACCAUCAAAAAAUUUCAUACUAUCAUAAGUUGUCAAAAAUUGACCAAAAAUGUCAUAGUAUAGUAAGGCAUCAAAAAUGGUCAAAAAAUGUCAUAGUAUAGUAAGGCGUCACAAAUUGACAAAAAAUGUCAUAGUAUAGUAAAACAUCAAAAAAUGUCAUAGUAUAGUAAGGCGUCAAAAAUUGACAAAAAAUUUCAUAGUAUAGUAAGGUGUCAAAAACCAUCAAAAAAUUCUAUAGUAUCGCAAGGUGUCAAAAAUUGACAAAAUGUCAUAGUAUAGUAAGACAUCAAAAACCAUCAAAAAAUGUCAUAGUAUAGUAAGGCAUCAAAAAUGGUCAAAAAAUGUCAUAGUAUAGUAAGGCAUCGAAAACCAUCAAAAAAUGUCAUAGUAUAGUAAGGUGUCAAAAACCAUCAAAAAAUGUCAUAGUAUAGUAAGACAUCAAAAACCAUCAAAAAAUGUCAUAGUAUAGUAAGGCAUCAAAAAUGGUCAAAAAAUGUCAUAGUAUAGUAAGACAUCAAAAACCAUCAAAAAAUGUCAUAGUAUAGUAAGGCAUCAAAAACCAUCAAAAAAUGUCAUAGUAUAGUAAGGCAUCAAAAAUGGUCAAAAAAAUGUCAUAGUAUAGUAAGGCGUCAAAAAUUGACAAAAAAUUUCAUAGUACAGUAAAACAUCAAAAAAUGUCAUAGUAUAGUAAGGUGUCAAGAAUUUUAGAAAAUGUUAUUGUCUCUCAAAUGUAACAGCUAAUUUGUAAUAUUACAAACAAGAAAAAUAUGGAAAAUUAGCUGUAGUAACAGAGGCAUUUGAGGUAUAAUUAAACUUUAUUUUUCUUUAAUUAUACUUGUAAUAAACUUUCAGGACUUGAAGCUUCGGACAGUUUCUGUGACAUUCAUGUUCUGUCUCUGCAGGACGAGGAGGAGGAGACUGCAUCACCUGAAGAGGACAACAGAAGUAAUUAAAUGCUGUUAAAGAUGUUUAGAGAUGUAUAUGACUUUAAUAAACAUAUCCUCAUGUGUGCUCAUCACUACAUUAAAUGUGGGAGAAUAAAAGUGUCUCCAAGUGG
This is a long non-coding RNA of Lates calcarifer (barramundi perch), 2346 nucleotides long. RefSeq lists it as uncharacterized. NCBI's taxonomy places the organism in Eukaryota, Metazoa, Chordata, Actinopteri, Centropomidae. The transcript is spliced from 3 exons. The record is from RefSeq and is a predicted model, not a curated record.